AUACGGAGGAUGCACGCGUUAUCCGGAUUUAUUGGGUUUAACGGGUGCGUAGGCGGUUUGCUAAGCGGGGGGUGAAAUGCCGGGGCUCAACGUCGGAAGUGCCUCCCGAACUGGGGGACUGGAAUGACUCUGCCGUGGGAGGAAUGUGUAGGGUAGCGGUGAAAUGCUUCGAGAUUAGACAGAACACCGAUUGCGAAGGCAUCUCACGAAGGGUUGAUUGACGCUGAGGCACGAAAGCGUGGGGAUCAAACAGGAUUAGAUGCCCUGGUAGUCCACGCAGUAAACGAUGAUGGAUAACCUCUGGUUUAUUCGGAUCAGUGGCCAAGCGAAAGCGAUAAGCCAUCCACCUGGGGAGUACGACCGCAAGGUUGAAACUCAAAUGAAUUGGCGGGG
This 393-nucleotide ribosomal RNA is filed under the name uncultured bacterium. RNAcentral's name for it is "partial 16S ribosomal RNA". It matches the Rfam family "Bacterial small subunit ribosomal RNA", at positions 523 to 918 of the family's 1533-position model. The record is from RNAcentral.